This 462-nucleotide ribosomal RNA is filed under the name Vreelandella stevensii. Its description in RNAcentral is "partial 16S ribosomal RNA". It matches the Rfam family "Bacterial small subunit ribosomal RNA", at positions 338 to 794 of the family's 1533-position model. Lineage: Bacteria; Pseudomonadati; Pseudomonadota; Gammaproteobacteria; Oceanospirillales; Halomonadaceae. The record is from RNAcentral.
CCUACGGGUGGCAGCAGUGGGGAAUAUUGGACAAUGGGCAAAAGCCUGAUCCAGCCAUGCCGCGUGUGUGAAGAAGGCCUUCGGGUUGUAAAGCACUUUCAGUGGGGAAGAAAGCCUUGGGGCUAAUACCCUCGAGGAAGGACAUCACCCACAGAAGAAGCACCGGCUAACUCCGUGCCAGCAGCCGCGGUAAUACGGAGGGUGCGAGCGUUAAUCGGAAUUACUGGGCGUAAAGCGCGCGUAGGCGGUCUGAUAAGCCGGUUGUGAAAGCCCCGGGCUCAACCUGGGAACGGCAUCCGGAACUGUCAGGCUAGAGUGCAGGAGAGGAAGGUAGAAUUCCCGGUGUAGCGGUGAAAUGCGUAGAGAUCGGGAGGAAUACCAGUGGCGAAGGCGGCCUUCUGGACUGACACUGACGCUGAGGUGCGAAAGCGUGGGUAGCAAACAGGAUUAGUACCCCAGAGC